UGUUUCGGCAAGGGGGUCAUCCCGACUUACCAACCCGAUGCAAACUGCGAAUACCGGAGAAUGUUAUCACGGGAGACACACGGCGGGUGCUAACGUCCGUCGUGAAGAGGGAAACAACCCAGACCGCCAGCUAAGGUCCCAAAGUCAUGGUUAAGUGGGAAACGAUGUGGGAAGGCCCAGACAGCCAGGAUGUUGGCUUAGAAGCAGCCAUCAUUUAAAGAAAGCGUAAUAGCUCACUGGUCGAGUCGGCCUGCGCGGAAGAUGUAACGGGGCUAAACCAUGCACCGAAGCUGCGGCAGCGACGCUUAUGCGUUGUUGGGUAGGGGAGCGUUCUGUAAGCCUGUGAAGGUGUGCUGUGAGGCAUGCUGGAGGUAUCAGAAGUGCGAAUGCUGACAUAAGUAACGAUAAAGCGGGUGAAAAGCCCGCUCGCCGGAAGACCAAGGGUUCCUGUCCAACGUUAAUCGGGGCAGGGUGAGUCGACCCCUAAGGCGAGGCCGAAAGGCGUAGUCGAUGGGAAACAGGUUAAUAUUCCUGUACUUGGUGUUACUGCGAAGGGGGGACGGAGAAGGCUAUGUUGGCCGGGCGACGGUUGUCCCGGUUUAAGCGUGUAGGCUGGUUUUCCAGGCAAAUCCGGAAAAUCAAGGCUGAGGCGUGAUGACGAGGCACUACGGUGCUGAAGCAACAAAUGCCCUGCUUCCAGGAAAAGCCUCUAAGCAUCAGGUAACAUCAAAUCGUACCCCAAACCGACACAGGUGGUCAGGUAGAGAAUACCAAGGCGCUUGAGAGAACUCGGGUGAAGGAACUAGGCAAAAUGGUGCCGUAACUUCGGGAGAAGGCACGCUGAUAUGUAGGUGAGGUCCCUCGCGGAUGGAGCUGAAAUCAGUCGAAGAUACCAGCUGGCUGCAACUGUUUAUUAAAAACACAGCACUGUGCAAACACGAAAGUGGACGUAUACGGUGUGACGCCUGCCCGGUGCCGGAAGGUUAAUUGAUGGGGUUAGCGCAAGCGAAGCUCUUGAUCGAAGCCCCGGUAAACGGCGGCCGUAACUAUAACGGUCCUAAGGUAGCGAAAUUCCUUGUCGGGUAAGUUCCGACCUGCACGAAUGGCGUAAUGAUGGCCAGGCUGUCUCCACCCGAGACUCAGUGAAAUUGAACUCGCUGUGAAGAUGCAGUGUACCCGCGGCAAGACGGAAAGACCCCGUGAACCUUUACUAUAGCUUGACACUGAACAUUGAGCCUUGAUGUGUAGGAUAGGUGGGAGGCUUUGAAGUGUGGACGCCAGUCUGCAUGGAGCCGACCUUGAAAUACCACCCUUUAAUGUUUGAUGUUCUAACGUUGACCCGUAAUCCGGGUUGCGGACAGUGUCUGGUGGGUAGUUUGACUGGGGCGGUCUCCUCCUAAAGAGUAACGGAGGAGCACGAAGGUUGGCUAAUCCUGGUCGGACAUCAGGAGGUUAGUGCAAUGGCAUAAGCCAGCUUGACUGCGAGCGUGACGGCGCGAGCAGGUGCGAAAGCAGGUCAUAGUGAUCCGGUGGUUCUGAAUGGAAGGGCCAUCGCUCAACGGAUAAAAGGUACUCCGGGGAUAACAGGCUGAUACCGCCCAAGAGUUCAUAUCGACGGCGGUGUUUGGCACCUCGAUGUCGGCUCAUCACAUCCUGGGGCUGAAGUAGGUCCCAAGGGUAUGGCUGUUCGCCAUUUAAAGUGGUACGCGAGCUGGGUUUAGAACGUCGUGAGACAGUUCGGUCCCUAUCUGCCGUGGGCGCUGGAGAACUGAGGGGGGCUGCUCCUAGUACGAGAGGACCGGAGUGGACGCAUCACUGGUGUUCGGGUUGUCAUGCCAAUGGCACUGCCCGGUAGCUAAAUGCGGAAGAGAUAAGUGCUGAAAGCAUCUAAGCACGAAACUUGCC
This 1905-nucleotide ribosomal RNA is filed under the name Escherichia coli. RNAcentral describes it as "partial 23S ribosomal RNA". It matches the Rfam family "Bacterial large subunit ribosomal RNA", at positions 911 to 2798 of the family's 2925-position model. The record is from RNAcentral. Lineage: Bacteria; Pseudomonadati; Pseudomonadota; Gammaproteobacteria; Enterobacterales; Enterobacteriaceae.